Long non-coding RNA from Triticum dicoccoides, 1512 nucleotides. RefSeq lists it as uncharacterized. The transcript is spliced from 3 exons. NCBI's taxonomy places the organism in Eukaryota, Viridiplantae, Streptophyta, Magnoliopsida, Poales, Poaceae. The record is from RefSeq and is a predicted model, not a curated record.
ACAGGUUGUUACAUCUCCAAAGAGGAUUCCAGCAGCAAAACUUCAUGGUCAGCUUGAAUGGAAGUUGUACAAAAAAAAUGCCUGGGCGUGCAAGUUUUAUGUGAAAAUGGUGCGCCGGCGGUUGGAAGAAUGGAAAAUCACUUGGCUGUCGGAUUUCAAGCACAUAGGGCAUUGCUUAUGUGGCGUACAGUUCAUAAAAACUUCCUGAAUUGAGUGUUUAUUUUCAGUUCUAUGCUUUGUUAGACUACUAGAGCUAGAGAUGCUAAAAUCCUAGAUGAUGCUAGAUGGUGUAAUGGCAUUAGUGCUGAAUUAUAUUACAAAAUGUACAAAUUGGAUAAGUAUAACAAAUCUCAAAUCUAUUAGAUUUGUAUGUUUUUAUUCAUAAUCAUCAGUCUACAAUCACCACUCUGCUCUGGCUUUCACUUUGCAGCCCUCGCUCAGGUCUUACUCUGCCUCGCCUAGCUGCCACUCUCUUCUAGAGUGAUUGUGCCCCACCAUGCGCAAGGUACUCACCAAGAACCAGAAGGUGCUCUUUGGACACCAUGGGAUGCUAAGGGCUGCAAGAAAUAAAAUAGUAUGUUGCAUUUUGCCUACAGGUAAGGAAACUUGUACCUUAUUUCUGCAAAGAUGUGCUCUAUUUUUUUUGUUCCAUGAGUAUUUGCAUUCCCUAUAGAAGCUGACUGGUUAAGAUAAAAGUUGAAGAAUUCAUACGAUAGUCGAUUGGAAACAUAUAUCUAGUAGUUCAUUUUUUCAUGCGCACAAUGGGAUAAAUUGAUGUAACACAAGACUUUACAACUUAGUGCUGUUGUUAUUAGAAUCAGGAGACUUGCUUUGUUACCGUACUUAGAGUUGCCGAUUGCUUACUAUAGUAAUAGCCAGGAAGGUUUGUAGUCAACUUAUAUGCAGUUGUAAUUAGUCGACUUAUGCUCCUUAAAUUGUUGUUCUUUGGUGACCAGUGAAUGGGCAAUUGACUCUUGCGUAUAUGGCUGAUCUAAUUGUUGGGAAAAUCUUCAGCACAUUGUAAUAUGAAAGGUUUUACCCUGCAAAAAAAAGCAUGAAAGAUUUUGAUUUUUUUUCUUAGGACUUCUUCAUACACUUUUUACUAUUGUAUUCACUAUAGUUUUCCUGGAUUGAACUGAUUUUUCGCUUGCAUUGUAGAUAUCAAGUCUUAGAGAAGGAAGUUUUGUAUGGCAGUCGACUCGCUGCUUCUCCGAUUCAGAUUCACAGUUAAAUAUCCCAUUCUUCUUUUUUCAGCCCUUGACAUUUUCUCCUACUUGCUAAUGCAGGAUGGAACACUUCCUGUUACAUGUAGUCUUCAGAACCUGUGCUGAAAUGGCGCUUCUUUGUUUGGAAAGUGUCUGAUUUUGCAAAACUUUUGGCUGUAUCGAAUAAUUUUCAAGUUGCUUCAGUGACAUCUGUUCCUGCUAAGACGUUUUAAAUGUGAACCUAAAUACUUGUUACCAUAAGUGACCAAACUUGUGGUGGUGUGCAAUGUUCACCUAACUUAAAACA